GAUGAACGCUGGCGGCGUGCCUAAUACAUGCAAGUCGAGCGAACAGACGAGGAGCUUGCUCCUCUGACGUUAGCGGCGAACGGGUGAGUAACACGUGGAUAACCUACCUAUAAGACUGGGAUAACUUCGGGAAACCGGAGCUAAUACCGGAUAAUAUAUUGAACCGCAUGGUUCAAUAGUGAAAGACGGUUUUGCUGUCACUGAUAGAUGGAUCCGCGCCGCAUUAGCUAGUUGGUAAGGUAACGGCUUACCAAGGCGACGAUGCGUAGCCGACCUGAGAGGGUGAUCGGCCACCCUGGAACUGGGACAGGGUCCAGACUCCUACGGGAGGCAGCAGUAGGGAAUCUUCCGCAAUGGGCGAAAGCCUGACGGAGCAACGCCGCGUGAGUGAUGAAGGUCUUCGGAUCGUAAAGCUCUGUUAUUAGGGAAGAACAACUGUGUGAGUAACUGUGCACGUCUUGACGGUACCUAAUCAGAAAGCCCCGGCUAACUACGUG
RNAcentral lists this ribosomal RNA (497 nucleotides) under uncultured bacterium. RNAcentral describes it as "partial 16S ribosomal RNA". It matches the Rfam family "Bacterial small subunit ribosomal RNA", at positions 28 to 507 of the family's 1533-position model. The record is from RNAcentral.